Molecule: unclassified non-coding RNA, 765 nt
Filed under: Hevea brasiliensis (rubber tree)
Lineage: Eukaryota; Viridiplantae; Streptophyta; Magnoliopsida; Malpighiales; Euphorbiaceae
Source: RNAcentral
AAUAAUCCAUCAUGGUUUAACCGAAUUGAGGCAAGCAAGGUUGUUGAAAUUAUAAGGAAGCUGAGAGAAAGUACAGAUAUAAAUGAGACUGAUAUUGGGGUAAUAACACCUUAUCGACAACAAGUCCUGAAGAUCAAAAAGGCACUUGAAACUUGGGAAAUGUUGGAUGUGAAGGUUGGGAGCGUCGAACAAUUUCAAGGACAAGAGAGAGAGGUCAUUAUUGUAUCUUGUGUGAGGUCAACCGUCAAGCACAAUAACUUUGACAGAACUUAUUGUCUGGGUUUCCUCAGCAACCCAAAGAGAUUUAAUGUUUCAAUUACCCGAGCUAGAUCUUUGCUUAUCAUUGUUGGCAAUCCACACAUUAUCAAUAAGGAUCCGUACUGGGAAGAGCUUUUGUGGUAUUGUGUGGAUAACAACUCCUACAAAGGCUGCCCUCUCCCUGAAAGGCCUAUUCCAGGGAGAGGCUUGAAUUGUGAAACAGGGGAUUCUUAUGUCUCAACAUCCCGAAGUAGGGACAUCGUUCCAGAAACUCUGCGGGCUGUCACCAAUGAAGCCGAAUGUUUAGAUGGUUGGAAGUAAUUUCCUCACUUUAUCAGGAUUUCUGCUUUUUUGGUUUGUAGGAAUUGGGACAAUAUUUUAGGUUGCUUUGUUUCUCUGUUAGAACUGCAUGAAAUCCCACAUCGGAUAAAUAAAUUUGAUUGGCAUAUGGUCGGAUCUAUAAGUAGAAGUUGGAACUCACAAUGAAACAUACUUACCUGGACGGGG